AGUGACUGCUAUGAUUCUAGUUUCAUUCAAGGCAAGUUUUUUCUUGACAUACAAAUAAUCAGGAAAAUACUGUCUUGAAUGAUACUUGGGUCAGAUUAUAUACU
Molecule: microRNA precursor, 104 nt
Filed under: Ornithorhynchus anatinus (platypus)
Lineage: Eukaryota; Metazoa; Chordata; Mammalia; Monotremata; Ornithorhynchidae
Description: microRNA oan-mir-1422m precursor
Rfam family: mir-1422 microRNA precursor family (bases 11-94)
Source: miRBase by way of RNAcentral